Pan troglodytes (chimpanzee) is the source of this 773-nucleotide long non-coding RNA. RefSeq lists it as uncharacterized. The record is from RefSeq and is a predicted model, not a curated record. The transcript has 3 exons. Lineage: Eukaryota; Metazoa; Chordata; Mammalia; Primates; Hominidae.
CCUCCCAUGGCAUGACAUCUGUUUGAGAUGACUGAAGGCUCAGGCACAGAACCUCCCAACAUCAUCCUGAAGGCAGCCCACACAGUCACAGGACAGAGGGUGAAGCUCUCCCUUUCAAUGGUUCAUGAACAAGAAGGGGAGAAAAGUAGACUCUUUAGAUUGGUGAUAUAAACAAACCUUAAGAGCAAAAUCAAGGAAGCAAGAUUAUUCCACAAUCCUACCCUAUUUCUAUAAAUCCACAAGAUUUAUAGAAAUCUAUCCCAGAAAGAAUAGUGAUGAGGGAGAAGAUUUUCCCAGGCAAGGCUUCAUGCCCUUCCUCACUCUCCCCUUCCUUGGGACCCCCAACUGCACAUCCACGCCAGGUACCAAUCCUGCUUUAAGCUAUUCUCAGAAGAGGAUGUUUUAAAUAUAGCAUUUUAUAGAUCCAGAAAGAUGGUCCUGUAAUGGUGGGAUUUCACCCUUGAGAAGCCAUAAAGUUAUUUUGGGGCAACAUUGCCUGCUCCGUACCCAAUGCACAGCCCAUCAAUAAAUCACUUGCUGACCGUCCUGCUGCAGAGUUACAAGGUUGGAAGACAAGAAUUGCUUGCUUCAUUGAGUCUUGCCUUCCUGAAAAGAAAAUAUCCCAAACCGACAGCAACAAAAUAUUUAAGGAAAAUUUAUGAUGCAUAUAACUUAUUCAAGCACUACCAAGAGGUUAAAGAUAAACUAUUCUGUCCCCAGAUGUGGAAAUUUUUAGACAUGAAGGAACCAAAAUAAACUUCUCAAAAAAUUAC